GAUAGUGCAGCACUAAGUGGGUGGUAAACUCCAUCUAAAACUAAAUAUAACCAUGAGACCGAUAGUAAACAAGUACCGUGAGGGAAAGUUGAAAAGAACUCUGAAUAGAGAGUUAAAUAGUACGUGAAACUGCUUAGAGGUUAAGCCCGAUGAACCUGAAUAUCCAUUAUGGAAAAUUCAUCAUUAUGAUUUUAAUAUUAAUAAUAUUAAAUUAAUAGUGUGCAUUUUUUCCAUAAAGGACAUUGUAAUCUAUUAACAUAAAUAUAUAUUUAUCAUAAGAUCAAUGGUGCUUCAGUUUAUUCAAAUUAUUUUGCUUGCAAUUUAACAUAGAAUAAAUGCUCUUGAUUUGAUAAAGUGUUGAUAGAUUUAUUAUAUAUAGUGCUUAAAUAUAUAUAUUUUAUAAUAGCAUAUUAAUCAUUGAUUUUUAUGUUUAUUAUAUGCACUUAUAUGAUUAACAAUGCGAAAGAUUCAGGAUACCUUCGGGACCCGUCUUG
RNAcentral lists this ribosomal RNA (494 nucleotides) under Agria affinis. RNAcentral describes it as "partial large subunit ribosomal RNA". It matches the Rfam family "Eukaryotic large subunit ribosomal RNA", at positions 276 to 656 of the family's 3401-position model. The record is from RNAcentral. Lineage: Eukaryota; Metazoa; Arthropoda; Insecta; Diptera; Sarcophagidae.